Molecule: unclassified non-coding RNA, 243 nt
Filed under: Glomeraceae sp.
Lineage: Eukaryota; Fungi; Glomeromycota; Glomeromycetes; Glomerales; Glomeraceae
Description: partial contains 5.8S ribosomal RNA and internal transcribed spacer 2
Rfam family: 5.8S ribosomal RNA (bases 1-71)
Source: RNAcentral
GUGAAUCAUCGAAUCUUUGAACGCAAAUUGCGCUUCCUAGCAUCCCGGGAAGUAUGCCUGUUUGAGGGUCAGUAUUAACAACAAAAUCGGUUAGGUUGCACAUUGUGACGAUUCCGGCGUUUGGGCGAGCUUAACUUUUUUGGUUAAGGGGCUUAAAAUUGACCUUUUUUGCGCAUUUUUAGACGUACGUUAAUUUUUUUUUUCUUCGUGUAUUCUUUAUGCCAUAAUUUUAUUAGAUCCGAU